UGGGGAAUAUUGCACAAUGGGGGGAAACCCUGAUGCAGCGACACCGCGUGAGCGAAGAAGUAUUUCGGUAUGUAAAGCUCUAUCAGCAGGGAAGAAAUUGACGGUACCUGAGUAAGAAGCUCCGGCUAAAUACGUGCC
This 138-nucleotide ribosomal RNA is filed under the name uncultured bacterium. RNAcentral's name for it is "partial 16S ribosomal RNA". It matches the Rfam family "Bacterial small subunit ribosomal RNA", at positions 355 to 509 of the family's 1533-position model. The record is from RNAcentral.